Podarcis lilfordi (Lilford's wall lizard) is the source of this 74-nucleotide non-coding RNA. The record is from the annotation of a GenBank genome assembly. NCBI's taxonomy places the organism in Eukaryota, Metazoa, Chordata, Lepidosauria, Squamata, Lacertidae.
GUUAUAUCUAGCUCAGUCUGUAGAGCAUGAGACUCUUAAUCUCAGGGUUGUGGGUUUGAGCCCCACGUUGGGCA